AGCGAACGCUGGCGGCAGGCUUAACACAUGCAAGUCGAACGGGCAUAGCAAUAUGUCAGUGGCAGACGGGUGAGUAACGCGUGGGAACGUACCUUUUGGUUCGGAACAACACAGGGAAAUUUGUGCUAAUACCGGAUAAGCCCUUACGGGGAAAGAUUUAUCGCCGAAAGAUCGGCCCGCGUCUGAUUAGCUAGUUGGUAGGGUAAUGGCCUACCAAGGCGACGAUCAGUAGCUGGUCUGAGAGGAUGAUCAGCCACAUUGGGACUGAGACACGGCCCAAACUCCUACGGGAGGCAGCAGUGGGGAAUAUUGGACAAUGGGCGAAAGCCUGAUCCAGCCAUGCCGCGUGAGUGAUGAAGGCCCUAGGGUUGUAAAGCUCUUUUGUGCGGGAAGAUAAUGACGGUACCGCAAGAAUAAGCCCCGGCUAACUUCGUG
RNAcentral lists this ribosomal RNA (435 nucleotides) under uncultured bacterium. RNAcentral describes it as "partial 16S ribosomal RNA". It matches the Rfam family "Bacterial small subunit ribosomal RNA", at positions 29 to 507 of the family's 1533-position model. The record is from RNAcentral.